This is a long non-coding RNA of Spinacia oleracea (spinach), 1343 nucleotides long. RefSeq lists it as uncharacterized. The transcript has 3 exons. The record is from RefSeq and is a predicted model, not a curated record. Lineage: Eukaryota; Viridiplantae; Streptophyta; Magnoliopsida; Caryophyllales; Amaranthaceae.
UUUACCUCCUCCAGUAAAUGCUUUUCCUCCAUUUUUUCUGUUGUAUCUCAAAGUUGAAGCUAUUAAGUUGGGUUAUCUAUCAAUUCAAGCGCUUGCUAUCACAAUUGAAUCAAAGUCGACAACAACCAUACUGAUGAUCUCCAAGGCCGAGUCCAAGCACGUCGAUCAAAGGAUACUAUGGCGCUAUGCGUGCUGGGAAGUAAUUGGUUUUUAUUUAACUAAAAAUUGAUUGGGAUGCUUUGUUAAUAUUGGAUACAUAGCGACACAUAUCUAAUUCAUAUUUGCAAAGCUGUUUUAAUUGUUAAACUAAUGUUAAUGAUUGAUGAUAAAGACCUUCUUCGUAUAUACAGUGAUUAUCUUUGUUUCAAUUGUCAGGUUGGACAAGAAUUUUCCGGAAAUGAGUUGUAAAAUACAGUAUAAAACUAGUGGAUAGCUAUGAUGCAAAAGACUCCAUGAUGUCUAAAUCUACCAUACACCACAGCUUAGAUGAGCCACUAGUUUCUCUCAUGAAGUCGCAGGGCAGAUAGACUUGAAGACUCAUAGGGACUAUCUCAAUAGAAGAAGAAAGGGCUAACCUUUAGGGGAAGGAUUGAAUUGCAAGCCUCUUCAUCAGUAGCAGGGAGAAGAGAGCUAACUUGAACAUUGAAAGUGAUCAUUGGGCUGAGCUUUGACAAAACAUUGGCAACUAGUAGUACAAAUACAAAUUGGUUCAUUCAUCCCUUUUAAGAAGAAAAGAGUGACGAAGAAUGCUCUGCGCCUCUGCAAGACUGCAGCUUAGUAAAUAGACAAUGGGAGAAUUUGGAUGGAGAUAUCCUUGGAAUAAUAUACUCUUAUGUACCUGUUAAAAGGACUACUUUUUCCUGAAUGGCUGAAUGUGGCCUCUGGCAGACUGCCAACUGGGAUUAUUUGUAUUGGAAGCAUAAUGUUCUCGACUUGGGUGUCUGUUGGACUUGAAUUGUUGAUAUAACAGAUUUAGUGUCACUAAAGUCAUUCAAAUCAAGAAUUGCUAGCUUGUCUUGAGCAUGAGAAGAAGCUAAUGAACAUGAGAAUAAGCUUUCCAAAAUGAAGAACAAGAACGUACAGGAAGACUGAUUGGGGGAUUAAACAAGGAUGAACUGGUUAAGAGUAACCAUUUUGGGAUGAAAAUCUGUGUAUGUGAAUUUGUGUCUGUUGUUGUGAGUUUCACUUUCGUGAAACUAUUUGGGUAGUUUAGGUAGUGUUUAGCUAGGUAAAUGGUCUCGUACCAAUCAACUAGUAUAAGUAUUAUAUCUUUUGUAAUUCCUUAUGUAAUGUCAGUGUUGUUUUGAAUAUUGCCAUGAAUGAAAAGGGAUAUUGUGAAUUUG